This is a non-coding RNA of Cordylochernes scorpioides, 109 nucleotides long. The record is from the annotation of a GenBank genome assembly. Lineage: Eukaryota; Metazoa; Arthropoda; Arachnida; Pseudoscorpiones; Chernetidae.
AUGGCCAUACCACAUUGAAAACACUGGUUCUCGUCCGAUCACCGAAGUUAAGCAAUGCCGGUCAGUACUUGGGAGGGUGACCAUCUGGGAACACCGGGUACUGUAGGCU